Molecule: ribosomal RNA, 495 nt
Filed under: uncultured bacterium
Lineage: Bacteria
Description: partial 16S ribosomal RNA
Rfam family: Bacterial small subunit ribosomal RNA
Source: RNAcentral
GACGAACGCUGGCGGCGUGCCUAAUACAUGCAAGUAGAACGCUGAAGGAGGAGCUUGCUUCUCUGGAUGAGUUGCGUACGGGUGAGUAACGCGUAGGUAACCUGCCUGGUAGUGGGGGAUAACUAUUGGAAACGAUAGCUAAUACCGCAUAAUAGCAGUUGUUGCAUGAUAACUGUUUGAAAGGUGCAAUUGCACCGCUACCAGAUGGACCUGCGUUGUAUUAGCUAGUUGGUGGGGUAACGGCUCACCAAGGCGACGAUACAUAGCCGACCUGAGAGGGUGAUCGGCCACACUGGGACUGAGACACGGCCCAGACUCCUACGGGAGGCAGCAGUAGGGAAUCUUCGGCAAUGGACGGAAGUCUGACCGAGCAACGCCGCGUGAGUGAAGAAGGUUUUCGGAUCGUAAAGCUCUGUUGUAAGAGAAGAACGAGUGUGAGAGUGGAAAGUUCACACUGUGACGGUAUCUUACCAGAAAGGGACGGCUAACUACGUG